GAUGAACGCCAGCCGCCGGCUUAACACCUGCCAGUUCAGGGGCAGCCUAAUGGUAACCAUACUAUUGAUGGCGACCGGCGGAACGGUUGCCUAACGCGUAUGCCACCUACCCUUUACAGGGGGAUAACACUGAGAAAUCGGUACUAAUACCCCAUAAUAUUCUGGGAGGCAUCUUUCGGAGUUUGAAAGCUUUGGUGGUAAAGGAUGGGCAUGCGUUGUAUUAGCUAGUUGGUAAGGUAACGGCUUACCAAGGCGACGAUACAUAGGGGGACUGAGAGGUUAACCCCCCACAUUGGUACUGAGACACGGACCAAACUCCUACGGGAGGCAGCAGUGAGGAAUAUUGGUCAAUGGACGGAAGUCUGAACCAGCCAUGCCGCGUGCAGGAAGACGGCUCUAUGAGUUGUAAACUGCUUUUGUACGAGGGUAAACGCAGAUACGCGUAUCUGCCUGAAAGUAUCGUACGAAUAAGGAUCGGCUAACUCCGUGCCAGCAGCCGCGGUAAUACGGAGGAUUCCAAGCGUUAUCCGGAUUUAUUGGGUUUAAAGGGUGCGUAGGCGGUUUAGUAAGUCAGCGGUGAAAUUUUGGUGCUUAACACCAAACGUGCCGUUGAUACUGCUGGGCUAGAGAGUAGUUGCGGUAGGCGGAAUGUAUGGUGUAGCGGUGAAAUGCUUAGAGAUCAUACAGAACACCGAUUGCGAAGGCAGCUUACCAAACUAUAUCUGACGUUGAGGCACGAAAGCGUGGGGAGCAAACAGGAUUAGAUACCCUGGUAGUCCACGCAGUAAACGAUGAUAGCUCGUUGUCGGCGAUACACAGUCGGUGACUAAGAGAAAUCGAUAAGCUAUCCACCUGGGGAGUACGUUCGCAAGAAUGAAACUCAAAGGAAUUGACGGGGGCCCGCACAAGCGGAGGAACAUGUGGUUUAAUUCGAUGAUACGCGAGGAACCUUACCCGGGCUUGAAAGUUACUGACGAUUCUGGAAACAGGAUUUCCCUUCGGGGCAGGAAACUAGGUGCUGCAUGGUUGUCGUCAGCUCGUGCCGUGAGGUGUCGGGUUAAGUCCCAUAACGAGCGCAACCCCUACUGAUAGUUGCCAUCAG
Molecule: ribosomal RNA, 1102 nt
Filed under: uncultured bacterium
Lineage: Bacteria
Description: bacterial SSU rRNA
Rfam family: Bacterial small subunit ribosomal RNA
Source: RNAcentral